CGGCCGCGUCGACCGAAGGAAAUAUUUAUAGCCUGAAGAUGAGCUCGCGUCCGAUUAGCUAGUUGGCGGAGUAAAGCCCACCAAGGCGACGAUCGGUAGCUGGUCUGAGAGGACGAUCAGCCACACUGGGACUGAGACACGGCCCAGACUCCUACGGGAGGCAGCAGUGGGGAAUUUCCGCAAUGGGCGAAAGCCUGACGGAGCAAGACCGCGUGGGGAAGAAGGCGUCUUGGGUUGUAAACCCCUUUUCGUCUUGGGAAGAAGUUGUGAAAGCAACCUGACGGUACCAAGUCGUGGAGG
Molecule: ribosomal RNA, 300 nt
Filed under: uncultured Microcoleus sp.
Lineage: Bacteria; Bacillati; Cyanobacteriota; Cyanophyceae; Oscillatoriales; Microcoleaceae
Description: bacterial SSU rRNA
Rfam family: Bacterial small subunit ribosomal RNA
Source: RNAcentral